Molecule: ribosomal RNA, 680 nt
Filed under: uncultured bacterium rcr_15
Lineage: Bacteria
Description: bacterial SSU rRNA
Rfam family: Bacterial small subunit ribosomal RNA
Source: RNAcentral
CGCCUUGCGGAUCCGCGGCCGCUGCAGAGUUUGAUCCUGGCUCAGAUUGAACGCUGUCGGCAUGGCUAAAACAUGCAAGUCGAACGAGAACCUCGCAAGAAGGGACAGUGGCGGAAGGGCGAGUAAUGCGAUCGUACGUACCCCGAGGUGGGGGAUAGGUCGGGGAAACCCGGCGUAAUACCCCAUGAUCUCCCCGGAGCAAAGGUUUACCGCCUUGGGAGCGGCGAUCGUCCUAUCAGCUAGUUGGUGAGGUAAAGGCUCACCAAGGCGAAGACGGGUAGCGGGUUUAAGAGCACGGCCCGCCGCAUCGGGACUGAGACACUGCCCGGACUCCUACGGAAGGCUGCAGUAACGAAUAUUCCGCAAUGGGCGCAAGCAUGACGGAGCAAUGCCGAGUGCAGGAUGAAGCAGCUUCGCGUGUAAACUGCUGUCAGGAGUCAGAAACACUGAUCGACCCCAAAGGAAGAAGCGGCUAACCCUGUGCCAGCAGCCGCGGUAAUACAGGAGCCUCGAGCGUUAAUCGGAAUCACUGGACUUAAAGGGUGCACAGCAGUCCGAAAGUGUCCUGUAAAUCCCACGACUCAACCUGAACCCGGGCAAACUUCCAACUUGAAGAAUAAAACUUUAAACAUUAGUGACCCUGAAUCCUAAAAUUCAUACCAAACCCCAAAUUAAAAAAA